GGGCACCUACAAAGUCUGGGAAAGGAUAGAGGCUUGUAACAAAAAUCAUGGUAGACAAUGACUCCACAAAUCCCACCAUACAAUGCUCAUUUCUCCUAUGUUUAUAAACAAGCCUCAACGUAUCAUCAGGUCACAAGGUGUGUUUGUGUGUGUGUGAGUAUACGCAAGUACAUCUAUAUGUAUAUAUAUAUAUAUGUAU
RNAcentral lists this long non-coding RNA (199 nucleotides) under Phoenix dactylifera (date palm). RNAcentral's name for it is "long non-coding RNA (PDAC_LNC012214)". The record is from RNAcentral. Lineage: Eukaryota; Viridiplantae; Streptophyta; Magnoliopsida; Arecales; Arecaceae.